UACGAAGGGGGCUAGCGUUGUUCGGAAUCACUGGGCGUAAAGCGCACGCAGGCGGAUCGAUAAGUCGGGGGUGAAAGCCCGGGGCUCAACCUCGGAAUUGCCUUCGAUACUGUCUGUCUCGAGGCCGGGAGAGGUGAGUGGAAUUCCUAGUGUAGAGGUGAAAUUCGUAGAGAUUAGGAAGAACACCAGUGGCGAAGGCGGCACUCUGGCCCGGUACUGACGCUCAGGUGCGAAAGAGUGGGGAGCAAACAGG
RNAcentral lists this ribosomal RNA (253 nucleotides) under uncultured bacterium. RNAcentral describes it as "partial 16S ribosomal RNA". It matches the Rfam family "Bacterial small subunit ribosomal RNA", at positions 524 to 776 of the family's 1533-position model. The record is from RNAcentral.